AUGACUUCUCGUAGUGAGGUGUUGUCUAUUUAUAAGCGUUUUGCUGCCAUGGUUCAUACUCAGUUCUCUUCAUCCAUUCGUGUUUUUCGUGCUGACUCCGCUGGCGAGUACAUCUCUAAGAUGUUGCGUGGUGUUCUUGCUGAGCAAGGAACUCUCUCUCAAUUCUCUUGUCCUGGUGCUCAUGCUCAGAAUGGUGUGGCUGAGCGAAAGCAUCGACAUCUUCUUGAGACGGCUCGUGCAUUGAUGAUUGCUGCCUCUCUCCCGCCUCAUUUUUGGGCUGAGGCCGUCUCCACCUCCACCUAUCUUAUCAAUAUACAGCCUUCCGCUGCUCUACAGGGUGGCGUUCCUUUCGAGCGUCUUUUUGAUCGUUCUCCCGAUUAUUCGAUGCUUCGCUUGUUUGGUUGUGUUUGCUAUGUUCUUCUUGCCCCUCGCGAACGCACCAAACUGACCGCUCAGUCUGUUGAGUGUCUUCUUAGGCUACAGUGA
This 486-nucleotide ribosomal RNA is filed under the name Triticum aestivum (bread wheat). RNAcentral describes it as "partial small subunit ribosomal RNA". Lineage: Eukaryota; Viridiplantae; Streptophyta; Magnoliopsida; Poales; Poaceae. The record is from RNAcentral.